This is a long non-coding RNA of Haemorhous mexicanus (house finch), 1442 nucleotides long. RefSeq lists it as uncharacterized. The transcript has 2 exons. The record is from RefSeq and is a predicted model, not a curated record. Lineage: Eukaryota; Metazoa; Chordata; Aves; Passeriformes; Fringillidae.
GGCCCGGCACGGCCCGCCACGGCCCCACGGGCCGCCACAGCACGGACUGCCCCGGCACGGACCGGCCCGGCACGGACCGCCACAGCACGGCCCGCCACGGCCCCACGGGCCGCCGCAGCACGUACAGCCCCGGCACGGACCGGCCCGGAUUACUUCCCCACGCAGCGGCAGCGCGGGACUUCCCUGAACUUGUCCCACGGAGUGACUCGGCCCAGGAGUUCCACUCGCUGGGCGGGAACCAGGGGUCCCCUUGCCCUCAUCCCUCCCGGGGUCCUGGACACGCUACAGAGAGUCAUGGGGGGCUUCCUGGCCCCGCCACUGGGGACCCUGGCCCGGCUCCUGGGGGGCCCUGACCCCACUCCCGGGAGUCCUGGCCCCAUUCCUAGCAUACCUGGCCCUGCCUCCGGUGGUCCUGGACCCCUUCAGAUGCAGAAUGCUGCACAGUGUCUGUAUUAAAAUACAGCUGCGCCUAAAAAUCCAUAAAAAUACAUUGCCUGAUGAUUGUGCUUUUGUGUUCACCACAUUUCUUAGCAUUGCCAGCCCUUGCUGGCAGCUGUGCUCCCAUGAAGGUAAGGACACACUGCUGGAAGGCAUUUGUGGUGAUCACAGUUAUUUCAGCUGGGCCAUUGUACCCAGAGAUGUGAAGGAGCUGGAUGCCCUCACCAUUUCACUCACAGUUUGGUUCUGCAGGAUGAAACAGUCCCAGGCUCUGCGUGCCAAACUGUGUGUGGGAGAGGUGCGUGGGAGAGGCCCUUGCUGGCAGCAUGUUCCCAUCCCAAGCAGAGCUCCUCAUCUCUGGAUGCAAACCAGCCUGUGGCAGCCGUGCAUCCCAUGUUCUUCACUCCCUGCAUGUCCCAAGUCCUGCACAAAGGGACUGUUACCUGGGCGUGUUUUUCUCUGGCUGCUGUCUCCCAAAGCCUAAUGAUGCCACUUGACUUCUGCGUCGCAUUUGUAAUGCUCUAAUUUGUUUCACAGCCAAAAGAAGAGUGGUGUAGUUCAACUGUGACUGAAGGAAGAGAAAGAAGGGAAUAAACAGUGACGCUCCACAGAUGGAGACAGAGCAGCUGUGGGGAGGUACCAGCUCUUCCAUAUCAAAGGAACCACUGCUCCUCCAUCACAGCAAGCAUGGUCACGGGUGUACUCUGAGCGUGUUGAGGCACUGAAUGGACCAGGUGCACUCAAUAAAAGGCCAGGGACUACAACCAACUCUUUCACCCACUUCUGAGGCUCUGAGUUUACCCCAUGACAACAGAAGCUGAAGAGAAGGCAUCAGAUCACUGUGCUUACGGAAUGUGCAAGUUCUCCUCCAUGGAUGGUAUAGGUACGAUAUUGUUCAGGGGUGUAUUGGUGUAACAGCCUCUGCCAUUGUUUAGAAAAUAACCUGCCUUAGAAAGAAAGAGCCUGCUAAGAUGUUCAAAAUGGCCAUUAUUGCCAUGGAAGAA